AGUUCGAGCUUCCUGGCUGCUUUGUUUACCUAAUCAAGCCUGGGCAAUGGCGGGCGCCCCUCCCCCAGCCUCGCUGCCGCCUUGCAGUUUGAUCUCAGACUGCUGUGCUAGCAAUCAGCGAGACUCCGUGGGCGUAGGACCCUCCGAGCCAGGUGCGGGAUAUAUUCUCGUGGUGCGCCGUUUUUUAAGCCCGUCGGAAAGGCGCAGUAUUUGGGUAGGAGUGACCCGAUUUUCCAGGUGCCGUCCGUCACCCCUUUCUUUGACUCAGAAAGGGAACUCCCUGACCCCUUGCGCUUCCCAAGUGAGGCAAUGCCUCGCCCUGCUUCGGCUCGCGCAUGGUGCUCGCUCCCACUGACCUGCGCCCACUGUCUGGCACUCCCUAGUGAGAUGAACCCGGUACCUCAGCUGGAAAUGCAGAAAUCACCCGUCUUCUGCGUCGCUCACGCUGGGAGCUGUAGACUGGAGCUGUAGACAGGAGCUGUUCCUAUUCGGGCAUCUUGGCUCCUCCUUGACAAGCUUGAAGGUGAGCACCUCGAAGGGCUUCUUUUUAUGUUGAAAGGCACGGGUUUGCAUGGCGGUUCAUCAGAGGUCAAUACCCCAGUUUGAGAAAGUCCACUGUGGGGAGGAAAGAGAGACUUAAACAAGCCCUGGAAAAACAAAGAAUGGAACACCCCUCCGCUGACUUCAACCAACUGCCUGCUGAUGCGGCCUGACUCCCAGCCCUUUUUGCAGUUUUGAAGUGACAAACUGACUAGGCUACAAAGUAUUCAACCAUGGGCUGGUUCUGGCUGGUUCACCGAGGCUGUGUACAAAGUGUCUUCAUGUCCUGUGUUUCACCUUUUAACAUACAGAACCUAAUUUUACUGCAUUUUAAUGUUAAUUCUCCACUCGAAGGUGAACAUGGGAUGUAUGUAACACAUAUGUUUGCUUAUCAAGCACACAUAUGACCCCCUUUCAUGAAUAUUCAUAGUUCCCCCUGUGACCUGUUGAAUAUGUCUGUUUAGCCAACCUGUUUGGCAUAAAACUCCUAUCCCACCCUAUCUCCCUCAAAGUACCUGUUUGUGGUCUCAGCUGGAGGUGCCACUUCCCAGCCUGCAGUUUGCAACCCUUCUCAAGAAAUAAAGUCUUCCUUUCCAAGUUUA
RNAcentral lists this long non-coding RNA (1142 nucleotides) under Homo sapiens (human). Its description in RNAcentral is "long intergenic non-protein coding RNA 1801". Lineage: Eukaryota; Metazoa; Chordata; Mammalia; Primates; Hominidae. The record is from RNAcentral.